GACCGUGCGCGCGAGUUUGAGGAGGUCCACGGGCACCACGGCCCCGGGACAACGCUUCUCCAGGAACUCUUGGAAGCCCUGGACGCCCAUGCUUCGUCGGUGGGCAGACGAGACAGCGGCUGCGCGAGCAGCCAUGAAAAAUGCAGUACACCAAAGACAUGAAAACUGAACUAAGACAACUGCCAAAGACUGAGAUUGACCACUGGGAGACCCACAUGUGGGAAAGACCCAAGGAGUACCACAGAGGCAAUGCAACUGAACUGGAACAACGGACCAAAGAAGACAGGCUAGAAACCACAAGGUGAGAAGUCCAACAUGGGUCUCACCAGACUACAAUCAAGGUGUUGGCAGGGCUUCAUUCCUUCUGGAGUCUCUAGAGAAGAUCUGCUCCCCAGCCUUUUCCAGCUUCUACAGUCAGCCUGAAUUCCUUGGUUUGUGCCCUCUUCCUCCAUCUUCAAAGCCAGCAAUGUUGCAUCCAUUUGAUACUGCUCCCCACUUCACAUCUUUUCUCUGACCCUCUCUUCUGCUUCCCUUUUCCACUUUAAAGGACUGUUGUGAUUACAUUGGGCCCACCUGGAUAAUCCAGGAUAAUCUUCCUAUUUUAAAAUCAGUUAAUUAGCAACCUUAAUUCCAUCUACAACCCCCAUUCCCCUUUGCCAUAUAACCAAACAUAGUCUCAGGUUCCAAAAAUUUGCACAAAGACAUGUUUGGGGGCCAUUAUUCUGUCUACCACAAAUUCUGUUGCGAUCUUACGUAUAUCCUUAUAGUUCACCAUCAACCCUCACUUAAAUAUGCACAUGUAACCAGGAAGUCUGGCCCAAUUAACAACUUCUUUAUUAAGAAGAGACUUAUCCUCUUUUCUCAAAUCAAAGAAGUACAUUUUUCUAACAGUCUCAUAAAUAAGAAACAAUUAUCUCUUACAACACAUAGAACAUGACAGUAUUUUUAAGAUUAUCUUUGUUAGCUACAAACUCCUCAACAAACUCUAGCUCCCAAUGAUUGCUAAUGUUUUAAAAACUAUUUGCAUAAUGUACUGCUAACAGUAAUAUACAAAUAUAUUCAGAAUUAAUUAAAAAUUAUUUGAACACAGGGGCGCCUGGGUGGCUCAGUGGGUUGAGCUGCUGCCUU
This is a long non-coding RNA of Lutra lutra (Eurasian river otter), 1128 nucleotides long. RefSeq lists it as uncharacterized. NCBI's taxonomy places the organism in Eukaryota, Metazoa, Chordata, Mammalia, Carnivora, Mustelidae. The record is from RefSeq and is a predicted model, not a curated record. The transcript is spliced from 3 exons.